GAUUAUUUGAGGAAGGUGGCUCCAUGGCUCUCACGGGUACGGGAUUAGGGUUCGAUUCUGGAGAAGGAGCUGAGAACGGCUACUACAUCUAAGGAAGGCAGCAGGCGCGUAAAUUACCCAUUCUCUGCCCCCAGGGAGGUGGUGACAAGAUAUAAUAACCCUAUUAACGUAGUGAUUAUAGUGAGGAUAUUCCAAACAGAAUCACAAGAACGAUUAGAGGGCAAGUCUGGUGCCAGCAGCCGCGGUAAUUCCAGCUCUAAUAGCGUAUAUUAAAGUUGCUGCAGUUAAAAAGCUCGUAGUUGGAUUUCAAGGAUUACAUAUUCUUUAUGUUAUUUUGUACCCUACUAGCCUUUCAGGCUGUUACUGUGAGAAAAUUAGAGUGUUUAAAGCAGGCUCAUGCAAGAAUACAUUAGCAUGGAAUACGAAUGAGUCUAGAAUCUUGGUCUCUAGAUCACGAAUUAAUAGAGACAGCGGGGGCAUUAGUAUUUAAUUGUCAGAGUGAAAUUCUUGGACCCGCUCAAUGACUAUCGUAUGCGAAAGCAUUUGCCAGGAUGUUUUCAUUCAUCCACCACCGCACGCAUACGGGAUCAAGACAUCAGAUACUGUCGUAGUCCUUAUCUAAUAACCUAUGCGACUAGGGAUUGAUGGACUUACCAUUCAGUACUUAUGAGAAUCAAAGUCUUUGGUCUGGGGGGGAGUAUGUCCAAGACUGACCUUAAGAAUGACGA
Molecule: ribosomal RNA, 728 nt
Filed under: uncultured rumen protozoa
Lineage: Eukaryota
Description: bacterial SSU rRNA
Rfam family: Eukaryotic small subunit ribosomal RNA
Source: RNAcentral